AGCCGUGGCCUACUGGUUAGCGCUUUGGACUUGUAACCAAAGGGUUGCCGGUUCGAACCCCGGGCAUGGCUG
Molecule: transfer RNA, 72 nt
Filed under: Alosa alosa (allis shad)
Lineage: Eukaryota; Metazoa; Chordata; Actinopteri; Clupeiformes; Clupeidae
Description: tRNA-OTHER
Source: RNAcentral